This 1311-nucleotide ribosomal RNA is filed under the name uncultured bacterium. Its description in RNAcentral is "bacterial SSU rRNA". It matches the Rfam family "Bacterial small subunit ribosomal RNA", at positions 65 to 1344 of the family's 1533-position model. The record is from RNAcentral.
AACGAAACUUCUUUAUCACCGAGUGCUUGCACUCACCAAUAAAGAGUUGAAUGGCGAACGGGUGAGUAACACGUGGGCAACCUGCCCAAAAGAGGGGGAUAACACUUCCAAACAGGUGCUAAUACCGCAUAACCAUAGUUACCGCAUGGUAACUAUGUAAAAGGUGGCUAUGCUACCGCUUUUGGAUGGGCCCGCGGCGCAUUAGCUAGUUGGUGGGGUAAAGGCUUACCAAGGCAAUGAUGCGUAGCCGAACUGAGAGGUUGAUCGGCCACAUUGGGACUGAGACACGGCCCAAACUCCUACGGGAGGCAGCAGUAGGGAAUCUUCCACAAUGGGCGAAAGCCCGAUGGAGCAACGCCGCGUGGGUGAAGAAGGUCUUCGGAUCGUAUUUUUCUGUUGUUACAGAAGAAAGUGCGUGAGAGUAACUGUUCACGUUUCGACGGUAUCUAACCAGAAAGCCACGGCUAACUACGUGCCAGCAGCCGCGGUAAUACGUAGGUGGCAAGCGUUAUCCGGAUUUAUUGGGCGUAAAGGGAACGCAGGCGGUCUUUUAAGUCUGAUGUGAAAGCCUUCGGCUUAACCGGAGUAGUGCAUUGGAAACUGGGAGACUUGAGUGCAGAAGAGGAGCGUGGAACUCCAUGUGUAGCGGUGAAAUGCGUAGAUCUUUGGGGGAACACCAGUGGCGAAAGCGGCUCUCUGGUCUGUAACUGCCGCUGCGGUUCGAAAGCGUGGGUAGCAAACAGGAUUAGAUACCCUGGUAGUCCACGCCGUAAACGAUGAAUGCUAAGUGUUGGAGGGUUUCCGCCCUUCAGUGCUGCAGCUAACGCAAUAAGCAUUCCGCCUGGGGAGUACGACCGCAAGGUUGAAACUCAAAGGAAUUGACGGGGGCCCGCACAAGCGGUGGAGCAUGUGGUUUAAUUCGAAGCAACGCGAAGAACCUUACCAGGUCUUGACAUCUUUUGCCAAUCCUAGAGAUAGGACUUUCCCUUCGGGGACAAAAUGACAGGUGGUGCAUGGUUGUCGUCAGCUCGUGUCGUGAGAUGUUGGGUUAAGUCCCGCAACGAGCGCAACCCUUAUUGUUAGUUGCCAGCAUUAAGUUGGGCACUCUAGCAAGACUGCCGGUGACAAACCGGAGGAAGGUGGGGAUGACGUCAAAUCAUCAUGCCCCUUAUGACCUGGGCUACACACGUGCUACAAUGGACGGUACAACGAGUCGCAAGACCGCGAGGUUUAGCAAAUCUCUUAAAGCCGUUCUCAGUUCGGAUUGUAGGCUGCAACUCGCCUACAUGAAGUCGGAAUCGCUAGUAAUCG